Molecule: long non-coding RNA, 727 nt
Filed under: Heterocephalus glaber (naked mole-rat)
Lineage: Eukaryota; Metazoa; Chordata; Mammalia; Rodentia; Bathyergidae
Description: lncRNA (ENSHGLG00100035133.1)
Source: RNAcentral
UGGCAGGGCCACAUAGAGGUGUGGACUGGACAAAAAGGACCUGAGGAUGUGGAGAUGCCCCUGCCUCCUCAUCCUCCCAUGAGCAGUGGCCCCAGCACCGUCGGGAGGCUGCAGGCCAGGGAGGCUCCAGCCCUGCCCAAGCUCUAACCCAACGAGAUGGGGAACAGACGUGUAAACAGCAUGGAGUUCCUGAGGCCCUAGGAGUGUGCGGUUUGCUUCCCUCGGCUUCUCCGUUUUGACAGGAGCCCAGUGGAGCACAAGAGGAAGGACCACCCUUGUGACCUGAGUGUGGGCCUCCUGAUUCCUGGAUAGUUACGGCCCUACAUUACGUGGCUGACACAUCGAAUACAGGGUUGAAUGCAUACAGCUGUAAGUAGGCAUUCCAGAAACUUGGGCCUCAGCUUGUUGCCUUCUCCUAUACCAGUUUACUACCCAGCCAGAAGACUUACAGAGCCAGAUGGGCUGAUACCUGAUUCCAUCUGGAUUGAGCAGUGAGCUAAGACAAGAGGGAUCUGAAACAGAGCUCUGGAGGCUGGACUUUCAGAGGCCCAAUGGGCAUGUGACGUGGGCAUGAGGACAGUCAGCUUGGACCCAGUUCUUUUAUAACUCCCAAAGUAAAGCUUCCAGCUGAGAGCUCACAGCAGCAAACCUCUCCAGAAACUGCCCUCCGCUGACCCCCAAACAAAGCUACACCUCUCCCUAGGGCCUAAGUAUCCAUGGAGUCGUC